AGAACGAACGCUGGCGGCAUGCCUAAUACAUGCAAGUCGAACGAACACUUCGGUGUUAGUGGCGCACGGGUGCGUAACGCGUGGGAAUCUGCCCUUGGGUUCGGAAUAACAGUUGGAAACGACUGCUAAUACCGGAUGAUAUCGAAAGAUCAAAGAUUUAUCGCCCAGGGAUGAGCCCGCGUAGGAUUAGCUAGUUGGUGAGGUAAAGGCUCACCAAGGCGACGAUCCUUAGCUGGUCUGAGAGGAUGAUCAGCCACACGUGGGACUGAGACCACGGCCCAGACCUCCGUACGGGAGGCAGGCAGGUAGGGAAUAGUUGGAC
This 322-nucleotide ribosomal RNA is filed under the name uncultured soil bacterium. Its description in RNAcentral is "bacterial SSU rRNA". It matches the Rfam family "Bacterial small subunit ribosomal RNA", at positions 26 to 370 of the family's 1533-position model. The record is from RNAcentral.